This 1670-nucleotide long non-coding RNA is filed under the name Lupinus angustifolius (narrow-leaved blue lupine). RNAcentral describes it as "long non-coding RNA (LANG_LNC001091)". Lineage: Eukaryota; Viridiplantae; Streptophyta; Magnoliopsida; Fabales; Fabaceae. The record is from RNAcentral.
UGAAAACCAUUAUCAAUUCCAUCCUAUUCCACGAGGAAUGAGGAAGAUGUAGCUGAUGCGCUGUCUUGGGUAAGUUCCUUCUUAAAUUCAUACUCAUGUUAAAUUGUUACUCAUUGUUCUUGUUGUUUUUGUGGUACUGCCGGUAUCUCACCUUUGGUUUCAGGUAAGAAACUAAUCUCUUUUAGUGUGCGUAUACAAUCUGACAUAUAUGGAAGUGUAUUACAUACAAUGUUAUUACUACCAUAACCGAUAGUGAUUUAGUAGUAUAGUUGUUCAACCAGUACUAACAUAUAUUGAGUUUCAUCCCUAAAUAGUCUCCUCAAGAGUCAAACUCUAUUUCCUCCUCAUACUCUCAAACAACAACCAACAUUGACCUUGACUCAUCUUUCCAUAAUAUUAGUCUUGAUUCUUCUUCUUCUCACCUAUUGCUCUGAUUUGCACAAAUUUGGUCGUUUCACUUGUUUUCAUCAAAACCGGUCAGCUUCUCACUGUUCUUGCCAUUACGAGUGCAUGUCUGGUCUAACUAUCAUCCCAUACCGGAAUGAAGUUUGAUUCGUCAGUUUUCUUGAUCGAUCGGCCAGUCCGCUACGAUUUUUGUAACAUUUAUUACAUAUAUGCUUAGAUAUCAACAAUACCCCUAUAGAUUAUGCUCUCAUCUAUUGGAUGGGGAUACUCUGGAAACUAGAGAAAUACAAAUAAUUGGUGAAACCUCUGCAAUGGAUACUCUGGAAACUUCUUGAAAAUAUUCUUCAUCUCUCUUGGUUCUUCUCUCUUUACCUUUGUAAGUUUUUUUUAAAACUCAAACGGUGAAGUCAAAAGUUGAAUUAAGGUGUUUCUAUAGCUUUCAAUUCUUGUCAAUUGUGUCAUUCAUUUUUUCAAAAAGGUGAGUCUUCUGAUUUUACCUUUAUCUAUUUUUUGUGGCUACUUUCUUUGUUGCUCUCUCGUUUUGAGAGUCAAACAAAGGACUGUGAGGGGAAAGUAUGUGGGGGGAAAGUAUCUGCUUGCGAAGUGAACACAUAAACUAUAGACGUUGUCAUUUUAUCCUACAUAUAAUAAAGAGUAGAUAUAGUCAUGAUAACCUACAUGUUUAAUGAACUAUUCAUGUGGAACUCUAGUAAAGGUUUAUUUGAAAAUAAAAUGUAUGCCAUAAACAUAUGAGGAAAAAAGUGCAUUGAAAUAUAAAAUUAGGAAAGGACCCACAUCACUUAAGCAUGUGUACCGAAAGGGAAAUAGGUGGCCCACAUAAAACUGCAAUUCAAUGCAGAAAAAUAUGUUUGUGAAUUUGAUUCGUAUGUUAUUUUACAAACUCAAAUUCGUACUAUUUAGCUUUUUCCUAAUUUUAUACUUACACACAUGCUUUUUUCUUCUCACUUAACACUUUGGGAAAAAACGAUGUUAUGUUUAUGGUAUACAUUUGAUAUUGAAAUAAACCUUUACCAUCGUGAUAUGGAUCACAUCUCCACGUGAAUUGUUCAUUAGAUACGUAGGUUACCUUGACAAGGUGUAGUUUUCAUUACACAUAGGGUUACGAUGACAAUGUGCAUUUUGUAUGUUCAUUUCACAAUAAAAAACUUUUCCCUCAAGGCCAUUUUAUUAGCUCUCAAAAUCAGAGUGACAAAGAAAUGGGACAUAACAAAAGAGAAAAAUAAAAUAAAAUCAGAUGACACAAC